Molecule: ribosomal RNA, 440 nt
Filed under: uncultured bacterium
Lineage: Bacteria
Description: partial 16S ribosomal RNA
Rfam family: Bacterial small subunit ribosomal RNA
Source: RNAcentral
CCUACGGGAGGCAGCAGUGGGGAAUAUUGCGCAAUGGGCGAAACCCUGAUGCAGCAACGCCGCGUGAGUGAAGAAGGCUUUCGGGUUGUAAAGCUCUAUUAUGAGGGAAGAGAAGAAGGGUGCCUGACUAAGAAACCCCGGCGAACUACGUGCCAGCAGCCGCGGUAAUACGUAGGGGGCAAGCGUUAUGCGGAUUUACUGGGUGUAAAGGGGGCGUAGACGGGAGUGCAAGUCUGGAGUGAAAGCCGGGGGCUCAACCGCCGAACUGCACUGGAAACUGUACGGCUGGAGUGCAGGAGAGGUCAGUGGAAUUCCUAGUGUAGCGGUGAAAUGCGUAGAUAUAAGGAAGAACACCAGUGGCGAAGGCGGAUGACUGGACGGUAACUGACGUUGAGGCGCGAAAGCGUGGGGAGCAAACAGGAUUAGAUACCCGGGUAGUC